CCUUCGAUAGCUCAGUUGGUAGAGCGGUGGACUGUAGAGGUUGGUAGAGAGAGCUUAUUCAGCGGGCAUCCAUAGGUCGCUGGUUCAAAUCCGGCUCGAAGGA
This 103-nucleotide transfer RNA is filed under the name Harpegnathos saltator (Jerdon's jumping ant). It matches the Rfam family "tRNA". Rfam says of the family: Transfer RNA (tRNA) molecules are approximately 80 nucleotides in length. The record is from Rfam by way of RNAcentral. Lineage: Eukaryota; Metazoa; Arthropoda; Insecta; Hymenoptera; Formicidae.